UACGUAGGGUGCAAGCGUUGUCCGGAAUUAUUGGGCGUAAAGAGCUCGUAGGCGGUUCGUCGCGUCGGCUGUGAAAACCUGAGGCUCAACCUCAGGCCUGCAGUGGAUACGGGCAGACUAGAGGUAGGUAGGGGAGAAUGGAAUUCCUGGUGUAGCGGUGGAAUGCGCAGAUAUCAGGAGGAACACCGAUGGCGAAGGCAGAUCUCUGGGCCGUAACUGACGCUGAGGAGCGAAAGCGUGGGGAGCGAACAGG
Molecule: ribosomal RNA, 253 nt
Filed under: uncultured bacterium
Lineage: Bacteria
Description: partial 16S ribosomal RNA
Rfam family: Bacterial small subunit ribosomal RNA
Source: RNAcentral